Molecule: unclassified non-coding RNA, 445 nt
Filed under: Hevea brasiliensis (rubber tree)
Lineage: Eukaryota; Viridiplantae; Streptophyta; Magnoliopsida; Malpighiales; Euphorbiaceae
Source: RNAcentral
CCAGCAAUAAGAAAUAAUAACUAUAUAACAGCUACCACUGUGAUCCACAGAAAGGACAUGCCUUGCCAACCACCAUAAAUAAAAACCGACUAAGCCAAUUCCAACAAGGUCAAAGAAUUGAACUUCAAACCUGAGGUUUAAAUUACAAAAUUUGAAGACUCAUCAAUGCUAAUAUGUGCAUUAGGAGAGCCAUAAUGCUCAGAGGUAGCAGCUUGAGGAGCAUGUCUCUUGACGAGCUGCUCACACUCCACUGUCCUGCAUUGAUGAAAUCCUUACUAGAAGUUACAGAGACAGUUACUGAUAAUGAGCAGUCAUAGUUAGCCCAUCCAAUCCGCUGAUGAGCCAGAUCAUAUACGAAAAUUUUAUCCUUUAGAACAAGAUCUCCUAAAAUUGAUAAACCUGCUUGAGCCUUCUGAAAACCAAUGCACCAUAACGGAGCUCCAUU